RNAcentral lists this long non-coding RNA (653 nucleotides) under Lathyrus oleraceus (garden pea). Its description in RNAcentral is "Pisum sativum (pea) long non-coding RNA (PSAT_LNC018613)". The record is from RNAcentral. Lineage: Eukaryota; Viridiplantae; Streptophyta; Magnoliopsida; Fabales; Fabaceae.
AAUUAUAAAAUUAUGGAGAGUGUCAAGUACUAGUGUAGGGUGACAAAUUAAAAUCUCUAACUAUUGGCAAGGAGUCCGAAGGCCGAGACCCAAAUUAACAAAGUGGUUGAAGAAGAUAUAUAAAAGAAAACCUUUUCCCUCACAAUUUCUUUAUUGACACAUCAUUAACAACACCAAUAGAGUCUAUUUCGCGCUUGAGUCGAAUUUCCAUUUUCUUUCGGAAGAAUGUCAUCACCAGCAAGAGCACGAUGACCCACGUUUCAGCUUUCCCAAUCACAUUGCCGUUUUUGUUGUAAGAACUUUUUGCGAUUCUGUUAUUAUGUGAACACUUAAGCCAUCUUCGAUUCCGCUGAUUCUUUUCACUUAGGCCUCAUUCUUGCCAUUUCUUUUAUUGUUUCCAUUUCUUUUAUUGUGUGAUUUUCAAUUCAAUAACACUUGUGCCAUUUUCUUGCUAUCUUGCUCUUGUUAGUGGUGGUUUUUUCUUGCUAUAUUUUUGGUUUUAAGCAAUUCUAUUGUGUUUUUUUUUCAAUUCAGUUUAUUCUUUCCAUUUUGUUUAUAAUAACUCAGUGUAAUUUUGUUCAAUUCAAGAAACUCUUACAAAUCUUAUUUUGUUUUGAAGCCUAGUGGUACCCUAUGUUCUUUCUAUUUGUUUC